RNAcentral lists this ribosomal RNA (270 nucleotides) under uncultured archaeon. Its description in RNAcentral is "partial 16S ribosomal RNA". It matches the Rfam family "Archaeal small subunit ribosomal RNA", at positions 477 to 747 of the family's 1478-position model. The record is from RNAcentral.
CAGCACCUCAAGUGGUCAGGAUGAUUAUUGGGCCUAAAGCAUCCGUAGCCGGCUCUGUAAGUUUUCGGUUAAAUCUGUAUGCUCAACAUACAGGCUGCCGGGAAUACUGCAGAGCUAGGGAGUGGGAGAGGUAGACGGUACUCGGUAGGAAGGGGUAAGAUCCUUUGAUCUAUUGAUGACCACCUGUGGCGAAGGCGGUCUACCAGAACACGUCCGACGGUGAGGGAUGAAAGCUGGGGGAGCAAACCGGAUUAGAUACCCGAGUAGUCC